This 492-nucleotide ribosomal RNA is filed under the name uncultured bacterium. RNAcentral describes it as "partial 16S ribosomal RNA". It matches the Rfam family "Bacterial small subunit ribosomal RNA", at positions 29 to 507 of the family's 1533-position model. The record is from RNAcentral.
AGCGAACGCUGGCGGUAGGCCUAACACAUGCAAGUCGAACGGCAGCACAGUAAGAGCUUGCUCUUACGGGUGGCGAGUGGCGGACGGGUGAGGAAUACAUCGGAAUCUACUUUUUCGUGGGGGAUAACGUAGGGAAACUUACGCUAAUACCGCAUACGACCUACGGGUGAAAGCAGGGGAUCUUCGGACCUUGCGCGAGUGAAUGAGCCGAUGUCGGAUUAGCUAGUUGGCGGGGUAAAGGCCCACCAAGGCGACGAUCCGUAGCUGGUCUGAGAGGAUGAACAGCCACACUGGAAGUGAGACAGGGUCGAGACUCCUACGGGAGGCAGCGGUGGGGACUAUUGGACAAUGGGGGCAAGCGUGAUCCAGCCAUACCGCGUGGGUGAAGAAGGCCUUCGGGUUGGAGAGCCCUUUUGUUGGGAGAGAAGAGCAGCAGGUUAAUACCCCGCUGUUCUGACGGUACCCGAAGAAUAAGCACCGGCUAACUUCGUG